Molecule: ribosomal RNA, 253 nt
Filed under: uncultured bacterium
Lineage: Bacteria
Description: partial 16S ribosomal RNA
Rfam family: Bacterial small subunit ribosomal RNA
Source: RNAcentral
UACGGAGGGUGCGAGCGUUAAUCGGAAUUACUGGGCGUAAAGGGUGCGUAGGUUGUUGAAUAAGUUAUCUGUGAAAUUCCUGGGCUCAACCUGGGGUGGUCAGAUGAUACUGUUUGACUGGAGUAUGGGAGAGGGCAGUGGAAUUUCCGGUGUAGCGGUGAAAUGCGUAGAGAUCGGAAGGAACACCGGUGGCGAAGGCGGCUGCCUGGCCUAAUACUGACACUGAGGCACGAAAGCGUGGGGAGCAAACAGG